This 572-nucleotide ribosomal RNA is filed under the name Enterobacter sp. RNAcentral describes it as "bacterial SSU rRNA". It matches the Rfam family "Bacterial small subunit ribosomal RNA", at positions 800 to 1369 of the family's 1533-position model. Lineage: Bacteria; Pseudomonadati; Pseudomonadota; Gammaproteobacteria; Enterobacterales; Enterobacteriaceae. The record is from RNAcentral.
CCGUAAAACGAUGUCGACUUGGGAGGUUGUGCCCUUGAGGCGUGGCUUCCGGAGCCUACCCGCGUUAAGUCGACCGCCUGGGGAGUACGGCCGCAAGGUUAAAACUCAAAUGAAUUGACGGGGGCCCGCACAAGCGGUGGAGCAUGUGGUUUAAUUCGAUGCAACGCGAAGAACCUUACCUACUCUUGACAUCCAGAGAACUUUCCAGAGAUGGAUUGGUGCCUUCGGGAACUCUGAGACAGGUGCUGCAUGGCUGUCGUCAGCUCGUGUUGUGAAAUGUUGGGUUAAGUCCCGCAACGAGCGCAACCCUUAUCCUUUGUUGCCAGCGGUUAGGCCGGGAACUCAAAGGAGACUGCCAGUGAUAAACUGGAGGAAGGUGGGGAUGACGUCAAGUCAUCAUGGCCCUUACGAGUAGGGCUACACACGUGCUACAAUGGCGCAUACAAAGAGAAGCGACCUCGCGAGAGCAAGCGGACCUCAUAAAGUGCGUCGUAGUCCGGAUUGGAGUCUGCAACUCGACUCCAUGAAGUCGGAAUCGCUAGUAAUCGUAGAUCAGAAUGUACGGAAUGGCC